This 484-nucleotide ribosomal RNA is filed under the name uncultured bacterium. RNAcentral's name for it is "partial 16S ribosomal RNA". It matches the Rfam family "Bacterial small subunit ribosomal RNA", at positions 30 to 507 of the family's 1533-position model. The record is from RNAcentral.
AUUGAACGAGGGAGGAAGGAGGAACAAAGGCAAGUCGAGCGGAUGAAGGGAGCUUGCUCCUGGAUUCAGCGGCGGACGGGUGAGUAAUGCCUAGGAAUCUGCCUGGUAGUGGGGGAUAACGUCCGGAAACGGGCGCUAAUACCGCAUACGUCCUGAGGGAGAAAGUGGGGGAUCUUCGGACCUCACGCUAUCAGAUGAGCCUAGGUCGGAUUAGCUAGUUGGUGGGGUAAAGGCCUACCAAGGCGACGAUCCGUAACUGGGCUGAGAGGAUGAUCAGUCACCACGGAACCGGGACACCGUCCCAAACCCCUAGGGGGGGCACCGUAGGGAAUAUUUGGCCAUGGGCCAAAGCCUUAUCCCGGCCAGCCGGGGGAGUUAAGAAGGUCCUCCGAUUGGAAAACCCCGUGAGUUGGGGAGAAAGGCAGUUAAUUUAAACCUUGCCGUUUUGACGGUACCAACAGAAUAAGCAACGGCUACCUUCGUG